UACGUAGGGGGCAAGCGUUGUCCGGAAUCAUUGGGCGUAAAGAGCGCGUAGGCGGCCCAGUAAGUCCGCUCUGAAAGUCAGGGGCUCAACCCCUGAAUGCGGGUGGAUACUGCUGGGCUAGAGUCCGGAAGAGGCGAGUGGAAUUCCUGGUGUAGCGGUGAAAUGCGCAGAUAUCAGGAAGAACACCCGUGGCGAAGGCGGCUCUCUGGUACGUGACUGACGCUGAGACGCGAAAGCGUGGGGAGCGAACAGG
Molecule: ribosomal RNA, 253 nt
Filed under: uncultured bacterium
Lineage: Bacteria
Description: partial 16S ribosomal RNA
Rfam family: Bacterial small subunit ribosomal RNA
Source: RNAcentral